Molecule: ribosomal RNA, 461 nt
Filed under: uncultured bacterium
Lineage: Bacteria
Description: partial 16S ribosomal RNA
Rfam family: Bacterial small subunit ribosomal RNA
Source: RNAcentral
CUACGGGUUGCACCAGUCGAGAAUCUUCGGCAAUGGACGCAAGUCCGACCGAGCGACGCCGCGUGCGGGAUGAAGGCCUUCGGGUUGUAAACCGCUGUCAGUGGGGAGGAAAUCCAGAUGAGUUAUCUUUUCUGGUUGACCUAUCUUCAGAGGAAGUGCGGGCUAAGUUCGUGCCAGCAGCCGCGGUAAGACGAACCGCACAAACGUUAUUCGGAAUCACUGGGCUUAAAGGGUGCGUAGGCGGUCCGGCAAGUUGGGUGUGAAAUCCCUCGGCUCAACCGAGGUAUGGCGCUCAAAACUGCCGGACUUGAGGGAGACAGAGGUGAGCGGAACUCAGGGUGGAGCGGUGAAAUGCGUUGAUAUCCUGAGGAACACCAGUUGCGAAGGCGGCUCACUGGGUCUCUUCUGACGCUGAGGCACGAAAGCUAGGGGAGCGAACGGGAUUAGAUACCCCAGUAGUC